UGGGUGGAGCCCUCGUGGCUCCUCCUGGGGCUCCCACCUGAUGGCAAUCAAGGCAGCAGUAUUCAAGACUGGCGCUCUUAACCACCUUUUGACAGAAUAUCAGCUAGCCCAUUCGUUUCACAGAAGCCAUUUUUCAAACCUCGCCAUAGCCUUGCUUACCUGGACGCUGGUCUUCUUCAUACUGCUGCUGCCAGUAAAAUCCUCUCAGUUUCUGCCACUAUCACCUGCCUCCCGCGCUACAGCUUGGAAUCCUGGACUCACCCAGACCUCAGUCGCUCACUUUCCCCUCCUGAUUUUCUCCUGUGAACAAUGCCCUUGACCCAUCUCUGCAUCCCCCGUCAUGUUCCAGCACCCAGCCAUCAUAGUGUCCCCUCACAGUUGAUGUUAUUUGCAAUCUUCCCUUAACUGAGUCUCUCAGUUAACAUUUAGAGU
This is a long non-coding RNA of Haplochromis burtoni (Burton's mouthbrooder), 432 nucleotides long. RefSeq lists it as uncharacterized. The transcript is spliced from 3 exons. NCBI's taxonomy places the organism in Eukaryota, Metazoa, Chordata, Actinopteri, Cichliformes, Cichlidae. The record is from RefSeq and is a predicted model, not a curated record.